This 711-nucleotide ribosomal RNA is filed under the name uncultured bacterium. RNAcentral's name for it is "bacterial SSU rRNA". It matches the Rfam family "Bacterial small subunit ribosomal RNA", at positions 28 to 722 of the family's 1533-position model. The record is from RNAcentral.
GAUGAACGCUGGCGGCGUGCCUAAUACACGCAAGUCGAGCGAACAGAUAAGGAGCUUGCUCCUUUGACGUUAGCGGCGGACGGGUGAGUAACACGUGGGUAACCUACCUAUAAGACUGGAAUAACUCCGGGAAACCGGGGCUAAUGCCGGAUAACAUAUAGAACCGCAUGGUUCUAUAGUGAAAGAUGGUUUUGCUAUCACUUAUAGAUGGACCCGCGCCGUAUUAGCUAGUUGGUAAGGUAACGGCUUACCAAGGCGACGAUACGUAGCCGACCUGAGAGGGUGAUCGGCCACACUGGAACUGAGACACGGUCCAGACUCCUACGGGAGGCAGCAGUAGGGAAUCUUCCGCAAUGGGCGAAAGCCUGACGGAGCAACGCCGCGUGAGUGAUGAAGGGUUUCGGCUCGUAAAACUCUGUUAUUAGGGAAGAACAUAUGUGUAAGUAACUGUGCACGUCUUGACGGUACCUAAUCAGAAAGCCACGGCUAACUACGUGCCAGCAGCCGCGGUAAUACGUAGGUGGCAAGCGUUAUCCGGAAUUAUUGGGCGUAAAGCGCGCGUAGGCGGUUUCUUAAGUCUGAUGUGAAAGCCCACGGCUCAACCGUGGAGGGUCAUUGGAAACUGGGAAACUUGAGUGCAGAAGAGGAAAGUGGAAUUCCAUGUGUAGCGGUGAAAUGCGCAGAGAUAUGGAGGAACACCAGUGGCGAAGC